This is a non-coding RNA of Jatropha curcas, 658 nucleotides long. NCBI's taxonomy places the organism in Eukaryota, Viridiplantae, Streptophyta, Magnoliopsida, Malpighiales, Euphorbiaceae. The record is from RefSeq and is a predicted model, not a curated record.
CGAACUGUAGUCAUUUUCGCGACCGGAGCAAAUGUUUCGUCAUAGUCAAUCCCAUAUUCCUGGCGAUUUCCUAGCGCUACCAGAUGAGCUUUACAACGUUCAAAAGAACCAUCUGCUUUCAAUUUGACAGUAAAAACCCAUUUGGAACCAAUGGGAGUGAUUUCUGGUGGACACGGUUUAAGUUGCCAAGUCUGAUUCUCUGCCAGAGCAUCCAAUUCAUCUUGAAUAGCUUUCUUCCAACAAUCAGAUUUAAUUGCUUCUGAAUAUGACUUUGGUAUGGCAAUAGAAGACAAAGUAGCAACCAUGGAUGUAUGAGAUUCAUUUUUUCUUUCUGGAGAGAAACCGUACCUGUCUGGGGCUCUGAUGGUUUGAGCAGAUCUUCUAAGUGGUGGAGGUGCAAUGUCGAGCUCAGGUGGCAGAGGGGACCCAGGCGAAGCUUCAAGUGCCAUUACUGUUGAUGGAGUAUCAGAUUGUUGUUGAAUUUGUCUAUGAACAGGUCUUCUAGUAAACACAAUCCCAGGAUGAAAUCGGGUUAUUGGAAGAGAAGAGUUGGAAGGUGAGUCAUUGACGUUGUCUUCAAAAGAUGGAAGCAGUGUAUAAGAAGAGGUAUUGGAUGAGCCUUCAAAGGAAGAGUAAAAUUUUUUGGUAUCGAAAAAAA